AAGAAUCCAAGGAAUCUCUCCUCUACUGGAGUAUUUUUUUUAAACCGAGGCGGAAAUGUUCCGCUUUUAUAUUAAGAAGAAGAGAAUUGACCCAGUUUAUAGGUAAACCGGGCCCGAAAUCCUUACAAAUACACGGUUAAUUAAGAAGAACCGGCAAAAUCUCCACACGGAAGACACGAGGCCUACUACACAACCAACCACAACAGCGAAGCCCAACAUAGGAUGCCUCAGCCGCGCUAAACACAAGGCGACACAAACGGCUCCAACCUUGCAAAAGAGGUGUUAUCGUUACCGAGUUAGCCAUCCAAGCGAACCAGCAGCGCCGACUUCACAGCUGCAACGACAUUGUUGCCAGCAUGCCAACCAAGCAAAUAGCAGCUUCAACAACCUACAAAAAAACAUCAGCCAAGUCACCAAAGAGCCACACCAAAGAGCCACUUCCUUCACUCAGCGAGCACUCCACUGGAGUAUUGAUUUUUACGGUUCAACCCUUCGCAGAUUCCCACCCAGUGAGACCGAGACAGAGGGAGGAAAACGGAGGACCGAGAAAACGAGACGCAUCUUGGCGUGUGACGAUGCAUUCGCGCGCGAUCCACAGCAAACAGUCAAAAGCCUCAAUGGCAUUCCGUGCUUUCACCUUGACUGCCUCAACCACAGUAAAUUUUGCUUUGCAUUUUUUCCCGUUGCAGUUCCUCUGUAUUGAAAGGUUCUACUACCCACUACCCUGUUUCGUAUUGCAAUUCAUGGGAUUUCUAAAUUAUAGAAAUAGAAAAAAAUAUAGAAAUAUAAUAUGAAUGCAUGUAUAAACAUAUAAGAUUGAGAAACACAGGAAUUUUCUCUCUAGCAUUGUGAAAAUGAGAUUGGAAUGGAUUCUUUUUUUCCUAUGUUUUUCUCUCAAUAGUGGAGAGAUAGGAAAUUUUUCUAUAUUUUUCCUUAGGUGCAUUCAUUUGAAACAAACGUCGCUAUAGUAUACAGUUCACAAGAUUUUAUACUCCUAUACGUUUCCUUUGCCAAUCCUUUAAAACGAAUAGGCCAUAAGAUUUUUUUAGUAUUGUUUAAAUUCAUCAAUUGAUGAAUGUAUAUAAUUUAUAUUUAUGUCUAUAUUCUUAGCAUCCAUGUGAAUCUAGACAAAUCUAAAAAGUCUUACAUUGUGAAAGAGAGAGUAUUUAAUAUCAGAUUUGACUCAUCCUAUAUGGCAAUAUUCUUAGAAUGGAUAAAAUCUUAUCUUACAAGUGAUUGCUACAUCUAAUUCAAUAUUAAUUGAAAGCUAACAUAUAAAAUACACUCCCUCUAAUACACUGGCCCGAUAUACUAAAAAAGAUUAUAUAUUCAGUACUCUCGUUAUUAUAAUAAAACUACCUAUAUCAUUGUUGCGAAUCUUUUAAAAAUUGUAGUUUUGCACUACCAUAACUUAACUACGUGGUUAAAUUUUGUUAAAGCUGUAUCCGUGUUAUAAUGUAGUUUUAUGAUUUUGUAAGGAUAUUUUCUAUCUCCUAAGCUAACCAAUAAUUUAAGUAACUCUUUUACUUAUAUAUUGAAUCACUUUUCUUUUCACAAAUAAUAUGAAACUAUUCAACAUCGUGUUUUUCGCUAAAUACAAUCAUAUCUUGUCUGUAUCACAUCUAUGCGAUGAGGACAGUUGAUCUAGAUUGAAUCCACGCUCAAUACACCUGUAUAAUUUGUAUCUAACACAACGUUUGUGCGAGCUAUUUCUAAUAAUAAACCAUAAGAAAAUAAAACGUAGCAACUCAAACUAAUAUAUCAAUAAAACUUGUACAUCUAUUUUUAGUGGUUUAAAGGCCCGUGUUGAAAAUUCGAUUAAAAUUCAACAACCCUUGAAAUCAAUUCUUUUAGAAAAUUCAAAUUAUUAGUUACAUGUGGCAAGCUACAUUCAAAUCAUUAGUUACAUCUGCCAAGCUAACAAACAGAGACGAGUCCAUGGAUGGGAUUUAUUUCAGCAUGAUAUUAUAGUAUAAAUUUUUUUAGCAUUGAAUAGACUUAAUAAUUUUUUUAGUGACUAGACUUAAUUCAUUCAUGUACAUGAUUUAUUUAUAUAUAUAUAUAUAUGUCUAUAUUCGUUUCGUUAGUAUAUAUAUGAAUUUUGGUAAGGUCGCAUCGUCAACCGGAGAGAGUAUAAACUUAGCAUUUGGCCAAGUGCAGAGUGGUGUGCAUGUGUGUUCAUCUACAUGGGAGCUGAGGAAUCACAAAAACUAACAAGAAAUAGGAAACUAAUAGAUCGAGGAACAAUUAAAAGAAGAAGAAGAAGAAGAGCUGUACUGAAUUUUGUUCAGGGGAAGAGAGGAUUAGGAAGAGAAUUAAGGUAGGUACACCACAUUCCACGUCACUACCACCACUCCUCACCACCCUCCUCAAACCACACCACGUACGAUCGAGAAUCAGUCGGAGCGCAUGCGGUUGAGCUGGUUGAGCGCCGGCUGGAGGAUGUUGUAGAGCACCCAGGCGAUGGCCGGCGCCACCACGAUCANNNNN
This 2490-nucleotide long non-coding RNA is filed under the name Oryza brachyantha (malo sina). RNAcentral describes it as "long non-coding RNA (OBRA_LNC002150)". The record is from RNAcentral. Lineage: Eukaryota; Viridiplantae; Streptophyta; Magnoliopsida; Poales; Poaceae.